This 496-nucleotide ribosomal RNA is filed under the name uncultured bacterium. RNAcentral's name for it is "partial 16S ribosomal RNA". It matches the Rfam family "Bacterial small subunit ribosomal RNA", at positions 29 to 507 of the family's 1533-position model. The record is from RNAcentral.
ACGAACGCUGGCGGCGUGCCUAAUACAUGCCAGUUGAGCGCUGAAGGUUGGUACUUGUACCAACUGGAUGAGCAGCGAACGGGUGAGUAACGCGUGGGGAAUCUGCCUUUGAGCGGGGGACAACAUUUGGAAACGAAUGCUAAUACCGCAUAAAAACUUUAAACACAAGUUUUAAGUUUGAAAGAUGCAAUUGCAUCACUCAAAGAUGAUCCCGCGUUGUAUUAGCUAGUUGGUGAGGUAAAGGCUCACCAAGGCGAUGAUACAUAGCCGACCUGAGAGGGUGAUCGGCCACAUUGGGACUGAGACACGGCCCAAACUCCUACGGGAGGCAGCAGUAGGGAAUCUUCGGCAAUGGACGAAAGUCUGACCGAGCAACGCCGCGUGAGUGAAGAAGGGUUUCGGAUCGUAAAACUCUGUUGGUAGAGAAGAACGUUGGUGAGAGUGGAAAGCUCAUCAAGUGACGGUAACUACCCAGAAAGGGACGGCUAACUACGUG